GAUCAUUACUGAGUUAUCUAACUCCCAAACCUUUGUGAACAUACCAUUGUUGCUUCGGCGGACUCGUCCCGGGCGCGCUCUCGAGCGUGAUCCGGAACCAGGCGGCCGCCGAGGGAUUCAAACUCUUGUUUUUAUAGUGGACUUCUGAGUAUCAUGAGUAAAUAAAUCAAAACUUUCAGCAACGGAUCUCUUGGUUCUGGCAUCGAUGAAGAACGCAGCGAAAUGCGAUAAGUAAUGUGAAUUGCAGAAUUCAGUGAAUCAUCGAAUCUUUGAACGCACAUUGCGCCCAUCAGUAUUYUGUUGGGCAUGCCUGUCCGAGCGUCAUUUCAACCCUCAGGGCCCGUUCGCGGGAACUGGUGUUGGGGAUCGGCCCCCCCCCCCGGAGGCCGGCCCCGAAAUGCAGUGGCGGCUCUACCGCGAUCUCCUCUGUGUAGUAGCGAUACCUCGCAGCUGGAUAGUGGUGGUGCCACGCCGUAAAAUCCCAACUUUACCAAGGUUGACCUCGGAUCAGGUAG
This 515-nucleotide unclassified non-coding RNA is filed under the name Waltergamsia epimycota. Its description in RNAcentral is "Nectriopsis epimycota sequence contains 18S rRNA gene, ITS1, 5.8S rRNA gene, ITS2, 28S rRNA gene". Lineage: Eukaryota; Fungi; Ascomycota; Sordariomycetes; Hypocreales; Bionectriaceae. The record is from RNAcentral.